AGGAUGAACGCUGGCGGCGUGCCUAAUACAUGCAAGUCGAACGAGGUGCUUUUGUAGCAAUACGAGAGUAUCCUAGUGGCGAACGGGUGAGUAACGCGUUGGUGACCUACCCCAAAGUGUGGAAUAACAGUCCGAAAGGAUUGCUAAUACCGCAUGUGGUUAUCGGGCUUAGAAACUGAUAACUAAAGGAGCAAUUCGCUUUGGGAGGGACCUGCGUCCCAUCAGCUAGUUGGUGAGGUAACGGCUCACCAAGGCUACGAC
This 261-nucleotide ribosomal RNA is filed under the name uncultured bacterium. RNAcentral's name for it is "partial small subunit ribosomal RNA". It matches the Rfam family "Bacterial small subunit ribosomal RNA", at positions 26 to 280 of the family's 1533-position model. The record is from RNAcentral.